Molecule: ribosomal RNA, 253 nt
Filed under: uncultured bacterium
Lineage: Bacteria
Description: partial 16S ribosomal RNA
Rfam family: Bacterial small subunit ribosomal RNA
Source: RNAcentral
UACGAAGGGGGCUAGCGUUGCUCGGAAUCACUGGGCGUAAAGGGUGCGUAGGCGGCCUAUUAAGUCAGGGGUGAAAGACGGUAGCUUAACUAUCGCAGUGCCUUUGAUACUGAUGGGCUUGAAUGUACUUGAGGUAGGCGGAAUGUGGCAAGUAGCGGUGAAAUGCAUAGAUAUGCCACAGAACACCAAUUGCGAAGGCAGCUUACUAAAGUAUGAUUGACGCUGAGGCACGAAAGCGUGGGGAUCAAACAGG